UACGAAGGGGGCUAGCGUUGCUCGGAAUCACUGGGCGUAAAGGGUGCGUAGGCGGGUCUUUAAGUCAGGGGGGAAAGCCCGGGGCUCAACCCCGGGUCGGCCGUGGCAACUGUCGAGCUGGAGCACUGUAGAGGCAGGUGGAAUUCCGGGUGUAGCGGUGGAAUGCGUAGAGAUCCGGAAGAACACCGGUGGCGAAGGCGGCCUGCUGGGCAGUGGCUGACGCUGAGGCGCGACAGCGUGGGGAGCAAACAGG
RNAcentral lists this ribosomal RNA (253 nucleotides) under uncultured bacterium. RNAcentral's name for it is "partial 16S ribosomal RNA". It matches the Rfam family "Bacterial small subunit ribosomal RNA", at positions 524 to 776 of the family's 1533-position model. The record is from RNAcentral.